Molecule: ribosomal RNA, 1183 nt
Filed under: Parahaemophilus parainfluenzae
Lineage: Bacteria; Pseudomonadati; Pseudomonadota; Gammaproteobacteria; Pasteurellales; Pasteurellaceae
Description: Haemophilus parainfluenzae bacterial LSU rRNA
Rfam family: Bacterial large subunit ribosomal RNA
Source: RNAcentral
GAAGGUUGAACCGGUCGAAGAUACCAGCUGGCUGCAACUGUUUAUUAAAAACACAGCACUCUGCAAACACGAAAGUGGACGUAUAGGGUGUGAUGCCUGCCCGGUGCUGGAAGGUUAAUUGAUGGUGUAAUCGAAAGAGAAGCUCCUGAUCGAAGCCCCAGUAAACGGCGGCCGUAACUAUAACGGUCCUAAGGUAGCGAAAUUCCUUGUCGGGUAAGUUCCGACCUGCACGAAUGGCAUAAUGAUGGCCAGGCUGUCUCCACCCGAGACUCAGUGAAAUUGAAAUCGCCGUGAAGAUGCGGUGUACCCGCGGCUAGACGGAAAGACCCCGUGAACCUUUACUAUAGCUUGACACUGAACAUUGAAUUUUGAUGUGUAGGAUAGGUGGGAGACUUUGAAGAUGAUACGCCAGUAUUGUUGGAGUCGUCCUUGAAAUACCACCCUUUAACGUUUGAUGUUCUAACGAAGAUUACGAAACGUGGUCUCGGACAGUGUCUGGUGGGUAGUUUGACUGGGGCGGUCUCCUCCCAAAGAGUAACGGAGGAGCACGAAGGUUUGCUAAUGACGGUCGGACAUCGUCAGGUUAGUGCAAUGGUAUAAGCAAGCUUAACUGCGAGACAGACAAGUCGAGCAGGUACGAAAGUAGGUCAUAGUGAUCCGGUGGUUCUGAAUGGAAGGGCCAUCGCUCAACGGAUAAAAGGUACUCCGGGGAUAACAGGCUGAUACCGCCCAAGAGUUCAUAUCGACGGCGGUGUUUGGCACCUCGAUGUCGGCUCAUCACAUCCUGGGGCUGAAGUAGGUCCCAAGGGUAUGGCUGUUCGCCAUUUAAAGUGGUACGCGAGCUGGGUUUAGAACGUCGUGAGACAGUUCGGUCCCUAUCUGCCGUGGGCGUUGGAGAAUUGAAAGGGGCUGCUCCUAGUACGAGAGGACCGGAGUGGACGCACCACUGGUGUUCCGGUUGUGUCGCCAGACGCAUUGCCGGGUAGCUAAGUGCGGAAGAGAUAAGUGCUGAAAGCAUCUAAGCACGAAACUUGCCUUGAGAUGAGUUCUCCCUGUCUUUAAGACAGUAAGGGUUGUUUAAGACUAAGACGUAGAUAGGUCUGGUGUGUAAGCGGUGUGAGCCGUUGAGCUAACAGAUACUAAUUGCCCGAGAGGCUUAACUAUACAACGCUCAAGGGUUUUG